Molecule: ribosomal RNA, 776 nt
Filed under: uncultured Neocallimastigales
Lineage: Eukaryota; Fungi; Neocallimastigomycota; Neocallimastigomycetes; Neocallimastigales
Description: partial large subunit ribosomal RNA
Rfam family: Eukaryotic large subunit ribosomal RNA
Source: RNAcentral
GUACACGCUGUGACUAGCAUAUCAAUAAGCGGAGGAAAAGAAACUAACAAGGAUUCCCCUAGUAACGGCGAGUGAAGCGGGAAGAGCUCAAAUUUGAAAUCUUAAAGGGUUUCCCUUUACGAAUUGUAGUUUAAAGAAGUGUUUCUCUGUUGAGGUUUUGGUAAAAGUUCUUUGGAAUAGGACAUCAUAGAGGGUGAGAAUCCCGUAUUUGACCUUUACUUUCAACUUUGUGAUACACUUUCAAAGAGUCGGAUUGUUUGGGAAUGCAGUCCAAAAUGGGUGGUAAAUUUCAUCUAAAGCUAAAUAUUGGCGAGAGACCGAUAGCGAACAAGUACCGUGAGGGAAAGAUGAAAAGAACUUUGAAAAGAGAGUUAAAUAGUACGUGAAAUUGUCAAAAGGGAAGCGUUUGACACUAGUGUUGUUUUUCUGAAAAUCAAUUAAAGAACUGUUUAUGCUAAGCUGUUUAGACUUUAUCAGCUAAUCUGUUUAGUUUUGAGCUUUUCUUUAAUGCACUUUUCAGUUAACAAGUCAACAUCAAUUUCUUUUGCUGUAAAAAAGCUUGAGGAAGGUGGCUUGAGAUUCGUCUUAAGUGUUUAUAGCCUCUUGCCUAUGCAGUCGGAGAGAUUGAGGUCUGCAGCGUAGAUCCUUCGGGGCUAAAUGCAUUUGUGCUAAGUUAUAACAUUUUAUAGACAACUUGUUGACUAUGAUUUGUCUUGUAGCUUACUCGCUUAUGUUAUUUUACCUACGCUUAGGAUGUUGACGCGCGUGUGUGCGUG